AAUGUGUAUAAGAGACAGGUGAAUCAUCGAAUCUUUGAACGCAACUUGCACUCUUUGGAUCUACUGGAGAGUAUACUUGUUUGAGUAUCAGAAUAAUCUUUCCUACUAUACUUUCUUAGGAAAGCUUGGUAAGAUAUUGAGGUAUCAUACUUUUUAUGUACCUUUAAAUGAAUUUCAUCAAAAGUGUGGUAAAAGACAGAUGUUCUUUCCCGCUGACCAGAUGUUUUAUUAUAUAUAUUUCAUAUGAUCUCAAAUCAAGUAAGAUUACCCGCCGAACUUAAGCAUAUCAAUAAGCGGAGG
RNAcentral lists this unclassified non-coding RNA (300 nucleotides) under uncultured fungus. RNAcentral's name for it is "sequence contains 5.8S rRNA gene, ITS2". The stretch from base 245 to 300 matches the Rfam family "Eukaryotic large subunit ribosomal RNA", at positions 1 to 56 of the family's 3401-position model. Lineage: Eukaryota; Fungi. The record is from RNAcentral.